UAACAUAUUCUAUGAGCCUAUCGGUUGC
Molecule: small RNA, 28 nt
Filed under: Bombyx mori (domestic silkworm)
Lineage: Eukaryota; Metazoa; Arthropoda; Insecta; Lepidoptera; Bombycidae
Description: ovarian small RNA-18644
Source: RNAcentral